CCUACGGGAGGCAGCAGUGAGGAAUAUUGGGCAAUGGACGAAAGUCUGACCCAGCCAAGUCGCGUGAAUGAUGACUGCCCUAUGGGUGGUAAGCUUCUUUUAUAUGGGAAUAAAAUGUUCCACGUGUGGGAUUUUGUAUGUACCAUAUGAAUAAGAAUAGGCUAACUCCGUGCCAGCAGCCGCGGUAAUACGGAGGAGCCGAGCGUUAUCCGGAUUGAUUGGGUUUAAAGGGAGCGUAGGUGGAUUGUUAAGUCAGUUGUGAAAGUUUGCGGCUCAACCGUAAAAUUGCAGUUGAAACUGGAAGUCGUGAGUACAGUAGAGGUGGGCGGAAUUCGUGGUGUAGCGGUGAAAUGCUUAGAUAUCACGAAGAACUCCGAUUGCGAAGGCAGCUCACUGGACUGCAACUGACACUGAGGCUCGAAAGUGUGGGUAUCAAACAGGAUUAGAUACCCUAGUAGUC
Molecule: ribosomal RNA, 460 nt
Filed under: uncultured bacterium
Lineage: Bacteria
Description: partial 16S ribosomal RNA
Rfam family: Bacterial small subunit ribosomal RNA
Source: RNAcentral